UCCAGGUGAGCUCAGUUGGUAGAGCGCACUACUGAAAAUGGAGCGGUCCCUGGUUCAAUACCAGGAGCAGGCG
Molecule: transfer RNA, 73 nt
Filed under: Ixodes scapularis (black-legged tick)
Lineage: Eukaryota; Metazoa; Arthropoda; Arachnida; Ixodida; Ixodidae
Rfam family: tRNA
About the family: Transfer RNA (tRNA) molecules are approximately 80 nucleotides in length.
Source: Rfam by way of RNAcentral